This 1279-nucleotide ribosomal RNA is filed under the name bacterium. RNAcentral's name for it is "bacterial SSU rRNA". It matches the Rfam family "Bacterial small subunit ribosomal RNA", at positions 49 to 1342 of the family's 1533-position model. The record is from RNAcentral.
CACCACAUUGUCAAGUCGAACGGUGAAGCCAAGCUUGCUUGGUGGAUCAGUGGCGAACGGGUGAGUAACACGUGAGCAACCUGCCCUGGACUCUGGGAUAAGCGCUGGAAACGGCGUCUAAUACUGGAUAUGAGCUCUCAUCGCAUGGUGGGGGUUGGAAAGAUUUUUCGGUCUGGGAUGGGCUCGCGGCCUAUCAGCUUGUUGGUGAGGUAAUGGCUCACCAAGGCGUCGACGGGUAGCCGGCCUGAGAGGGUGACCGGCCACACUGGGACUGAGACACGGCCCAGACUCCUACGGGAGGCAGCAGUGGGGAAUAUUGCACAAUGGGCGGAAGCCUGAUGCAGCAACGCCGCGUGAGGGAUGACGGCCUUCGGGUUGUAAACCUCUUUUAGCAGGGAAGAAGCGAGAGUGACGGUACCUGCAGAAAAAGCGCCGGCUAACUACGUGCCAGCAGCCGCGGUAAUACGUAGGGCGCAAGCGUUAUCCGGAAUUAUUGGGCGUAAAGAGCUCGUAGGCGGUUUGUCGCGUCUGCUGUGAAAUCCCGAGGCUCAACCUCGGGCCUGCAGUGGGUACGGGCAGACUAGAGUGCGGUAGGGGAGAUUGGAAUUCCUGGUGUAGCGGUGGAAUGCGCAGAUAUCAGGAGGAACACCGAUGGCGAAGGCAGAUCUCUGGGCCGUAACUGACGCUGAGGAGCGAAAGGGUGGGGAGCAAACAGGCUUAGAUACCCUGGUAGUCCACCCCGUAAACGUUGGGAACUAGUUGUGGGGACCAUUCCACGGUCUCCGUGACGCAGCUAACGCAUUAAGUUCCCCGCCUGGGGAGUACGGCCGCAAGGCUAAAACUCAAAGGAAUUGACGGGGACCCGCACAAGCGGCGGAGCAUGCGGAUUAAUUCGAUGCAACGCGAAGAACCUUACCAAGGCUUGACAUACACCAGAACACCGUAGAAAUACGGGACUCUUUGGGACACUGGUGAACAGGUGGUGCAUGGUUGUCGUCAGCUCGUGUCGUGAGAUGUUGCGUUAAGUCCCGCAACGAGCGCAACCCUCGUUCUAUGUUGUCAGCACGUAAUGGUGGGAACUCAUGGGAUACUGCCGGGGUCAACUUCGAAGAAAGGUGGGGAUAACGUCAAAUCAUCAUGGCCCUUAUUGUUUGGGGCUCUCGCAUGCUACAAUGGGCGGAACAAAAGGCUCCAAUAUCCGGGGAGAGUGGAGCAUUCCAAAGCCGUCCCAGUUCGCAUAAGUCUGCAAUUCGACCUUUUGAUAAAAGCGGAGAAGAGC